Molecule: long non-coding RNA, 1957 nt
Organism: Pezoporus flaviventris
Lineage: Eukaryota; Metazoa; Chordata; Aves; Psittaciformes; Psittacidae
Exons: 3
Source: RefSeq, a predicted model, not a curated record
ACCAGAAGGACCCUUCUUGCUCUGAUACUUGCAUUUGCUGGGAAGAACGUAUCAGAAGUUGGCUUCCCUUUCCUGACAAUCCUGUGACUGCAGUAACCAUCAACAGCAACAGCCUCAGCUCAGUCAUUAGCUCUGAAACCAGCCGGAGUGUGGCCAUCCCAUCAGGAAUGGUUUUCAAUGUAGCACACUUCAUGUGACAGAUGUUGGUUUGGGUUUUGCACCCUGGGUGUAUGGAUUCAAGCCUUAAAGAAGAAACAGAGGUGAAGAAGCUGAAGAACCAGCCACUGUGUCUAGAAGGGCCUCUCCCAGCCACAGCAUCCUGCAUGUGGUCAUUUGAUGUGAAAAGGUUUUAGGUGCUGGCCCUCAGCUGGAUCCUGCCAUUCAAUGAGCAGCCCUUUCAGAAGUGCUUGCCAAGAGAUCAAAGAGUGUGCAGACAUGAGAGAUCAGAACAGCCAACACAGCAGAGGCAGGCUGAGCACAGCGAGGUCCCAACAGACGGAGGAACAUUGGGUUCCUGCACAGCCUGGUGUGAGCAGACCAGAGGAGCAGCUCUGCUUUGAGAGGCUGUGGAGGGAUGACGUUGGGAACACAGGCUCCCUGCACAAGGUCUGAGCACGUAAGUCAGUCUCAUGACCUGGGUGACUUCUCCUCUUCUGUGCUAGACAAGGAGGGGCUUUGAGGAGAAACGGCACAAAACACUGGUAUAAUAAAUACAUUCACAGCAGAAACAACUUGGCUCUUGUUGAGACAGAGAAUGCAGGGAGGUAUCUGUGCUGCCCAUGGGACUGUGGUAUACACACAACCAAGGUAACUGCAGCUGCUGCUCGCCAGAGCCUCCAAGUUCACGUGGAUGCAGCUUCAUGACUUGUUUUGCAACCCAUCCUGAACCAGUUCUCAUGUAACUUAAUAAACUUAAAGCUAAUUCAAGUAAUUCAACCAGUGAUGCCCAUUACUGGAGCACACAAACAUCUCAUGAGCCUGGAUUCAUCCUCAGCCCAGGCAGUGCUUUUAUCCCCAUUCUACUCUGGGAAGCAAAAAUGGAACAGGGCAAAAUGACUUCCACAGAGAGGCUGGAAAUGAGUAGCAGAGCAGGAAACUAGACCUACAUCCCCUCAUCAUCUUGUUACUUCUCAUUUAAUGGUUACAGCUGGAGAAUUAAAGCUAUAUCAUAUUCUUGUGGGCACACAGCACAUGCCAAGCAAGCUGACAUUUCAAAGACCUAUUGUUUUUCGAGCGGGUUCCUUCUAUCUGGGAAAAUGUUCUAUUAUCUUGGGGGGAGAGAGGCAGAAACUUGCAUCAGAAAUCGCUUGAUUCUGCAGCCAGCUUGUUAGAUGUUAGUCCAGGCAUUGUCUGGAUGUCAGUCCAGACCAAGAAUAGUGGAUCUGACCGCCUGUGUGAUGUGUUUACUUUGCCACCUGCUUUCAGAGACCACUACAUAAGCAAAUGACUGUUUAAAAUGCUUUUAUGUGUGCAUCUCGCAAGAGAACUGUGUCACAGAUGAUGCUCUGAGAGGGAGCUCUCCCCAGACUGCCUCUAUGUUAAAAGCAGGGCAACUGAGGAUUCUUUUCAAUGGGGGUAUUUACAUUCCAUUACAAAACAAACACUGGUAGUAUUUCACAUGCAUUCCCGGAACAGAAGUCAACAGUAGCUGCACACUGUCUCAUUGCUCUUUAAUUCAGUUUGCGUCAGAGAGAUCUUAAAGUCAAGAAUCACAUUUGCAGAUGGUCGGGCAGUUCAUGAACUGCUGGAGCUGCCCAGAGGUUGUGUAAGUUAAGGAUGCAAAACAAAGGCAGUUCACAUCCAAACUGCAGGAGGUAAAGACCUGCUGCUCUCCCAUCUCCUUCCCUCUCCAAGGGUCUUUUUUGCCAUCCUUUGGAUGCUGUUUUAUAUCUCUCAUCUCUCGUGAGGCAACUUAGCACCCCAGCCUGCAUCUGUUAUCCCACUGUGCUCAUCCCUG